Molecule: transfer RNA, 73 nt
Filed under: Cimex lectularius (bed bug)
Lineage: Eukaryota; Metazoa; Arthropoda; Insecta; Hemiptera; Cimicidae
Description: tRNA-Gly
Rfam family: tRNA
About the family: Transfer RNA (tRNA) molecules are approximately 80 nucleotides in length. Their secondary structure includes four short double-helical elements and three loops (D, anti-codon, and T loops).
Source: Rfam by way of RNAcentral
GUCAUGAUUGCUCAAGUGGUAGAGUAGCGGCCUACCAAGCCGAAGAUCGUGGGUUCGAAUCCCGCUCGUGACA